Molecule: ribosomal RNA, 333 nt
Filed under: Triticum aestivum (bread wheat)
Lineage: Eukaryota; Viridiplantae; Streptophyta; Magnoliopsida; Poales; Poaceae
Description: partial small subunit ribosomal RNA
Source: RNAcentral
AUGCACAUCUUCAUUGAGUCGCUCACUGCGCAUAUGUGUGUGUUGUGUUCGUGCGUGCGUGGCCGCGACCAUGCUUCACAUUUCGGUGUUGUCUAUGUGUGGUCGUGCGGGCGUCUCACCUCAAACACAUCCCAGGCCGGUGCACGAGUUGCUGAGGAAACGCCCAAGGUUGUGGCCACUCGACCACAACUUCGUCUCCUGGAAGGUGUCGGAUGUGGACAGCCAGAACGAGUUCAAGUCUAUGUGGUUCAUCGAGGAGAAAAAGAAGAGGAACUCAACUUGUUUCUCUGUGGACAAGGCCAGAAGAAAUUGUGCUCUGAACAUGCUUGUUGA